RNAcentral lists this ribosomal RNA (424 nucleotides) under uncultured prokaryote. RNAcentral's name for it is "bacterial SSU rRNA". It matches the Rfam family "Bacterial small subunit ribosomal RNA", at positions 355 to 776 of the family's 1533-position model. The record is from RNAcentral. RNAcentral also lists the same sequence under 1 other name.
UGAGGAAUAUUGGUCAAUGGGUGCAAGCCUGAACCAGCCAUCCCGCGUGAAGGAUGACUGCCCUAUGGGUUGUAAACUUCUUUUGUAUAGGGAUAAACCUACCCUCGAGAGGGUAGCUGAAGGUACUAUACGAAUAAGCACCGGCUAACUCCGUGCCAGCAGCCGCGGUAAUACGGAGGGUGCAAGCGUUAUCCGGAUUUAUUGGGUUUAAAGGGUCCGUAGGCGGACUUAUAAGUCAGUGGUGAAAGCCUGUCGCUUAACGAUAGAACUGCCAUUGAUACUGUAAGUCUUGAGUAUAUUUGAGGUAGCUGGAAUAAGUAGUGUAGCGGUGAAAUGCAUAGAUAUUACUUAGAACACCAAUUGCGAAGGCAGGUUACCAAGAUAUAACUGACGCUGAGGGACGAAAGCGUGGGGAGCGAACAGG